GCACCUGCAAAAUAGAGUUAGAACUACGUGUGAGAAAAUCCUUUAUUUUCCUUUUACAAUGGAGAACAAGCAACAACUCACCGAGGUCAGCCAUUCUGGCUUGGAGAAUGUGCCUCCCAAAAUUCCUGAAGAUGCUGAUGUUGAGAGCAGUCACGUCACAAAAAAUCAGCCCAGUCAGGGCAAUCCCAUUUAGGCUCAGCCCGUUCAGUGGCAGCAUUUUCAGGCCAACCAGGGGCAGCCCAUUCCGGGCCAGCCCAUCCAGUUGCUGCAUAUGCCAUCUUCAUCAGUCCCAUGGUACAAUGUGCCUGCUCAGCCCGCUAUUUUUGGGUCAUCAUUGCCAUUAUAGUUUGAGGGAGGUCCAGUAGC
Molecule: long non-coding RNA, 366 nt
Organism: Rhodamnia argentea
Lineage: Eukaryota; Viridiplantae; Streptophyta; Magnoliopsida; Myrtales; Myrtaceae
Exons: 4
Source: RefSeq, a predicted model, not a curated record